GCUUCUUCUGCUGGGAUGCCUGAAGACCUGGAGGAAGCAGGCCCCUCAGGAGUGGAGUUUGACGGUUGGUUGAUGAGUGAAAAACAUAGCAAAUAAAUUUGAGUCCCCUCAUGGUUUAAACACACCAUUGUAGUCUAAUUUAAGAUGGACAGAUCAAGUCAUGCACAUGUAAUGUGUGAACAUUUUUUAUUUGAAUAACAAUGUUGCCUGAUUGCAGAGUUUUGAUUUCAGACAUUUUUGUCACAACUUUAACUAAAGAUAAGCCUGCUCCCUCUCCUGCUUCAGCUCCCUCUCCUGCAGCAGCUCCCUCUCCUGCCCCAGCUCCAUCUCCUGCUUCAGCUCCCUCUCCUGCCCCGUCAACUUCUCCUGCUCCCUCAACUGCGGCAGGUGAUGCCUCGGGCCCCACUGCAGCCAGGCCAAGAGGUAUAGAAAUUAAAUAUUAACCAUAUAUUCAAUGAAAUUGCUCAAGGUCACAUAGAAAUUAUAAAACAAAUAGUAACCGAUUAGUUUUUUUUUAUGACAGGGAGGAAGAGGAGGACGCCUCCCUCCUCACGACUGGAGGAGAUUGAGGAGCUCCUCUGUCAGGCCCUGAGGAGGCAGCAGACUCCCCCUCCACCACCACCACCACCACCACCCACAUCUCGCUAUACCGAGGAGGAGCAUUUCCUCCUAGGCCUGGCUCCUUCCCUCGCGAGGCUGUCACCCCAGGCUAAGGAGCAAGUGAAAUUUCAAAUUUAUAAAUUAAUUUUUGAAGCUCAG
Non-coding RNA from Xyrichtys novacula (pearly razorfish), 759 nucleotides. Lineage: Eukaryota; Metazoa; Chordata; Actinopteri; Labriformes; Labridae. The record is from the annotation of a GenBank genome assembly.